This 650-nucleotide ribosomal RNA is filed under the name Clistobothrium montaukensis. RNAcentral describes it as "partial 12S ribosomal RNA". The record is from RNAcentral. Lineage: Eukaryota; Metazoa; Platyhelminthes; Cestoda; Phyllobothriidea; Phyllobothriidae.
AAAUUGUUUAACUAUGGCAAAAAGAAGUUAUUUGACACGUUAACUGCAUAAAAUUGUUAUAAUAUAGUUGCAUAAUUUUAAUUAAAUUACGUGUAUUAGCAGUUAGUAUUUUAUUAAAAUGUAAAUUCUUUAAGAAUGUGUCAUUCAAAGGGGAUAGGACACAGUGCCAGCAUCCGCGGUUAAUCUGUUUUCUUUGCUUUUAUAUAACUAAAAAUUAGAUGGUUAAAGACAAGGUUAGGUGAAAUUUUCUUGUGUUAAUAUUUAUCAUUUAUUUAAUAAGAAAUAGUAUUAUAUGACAGGGAUUAGAUACCCCAUUAAUAUGCUAUGUUAAUAUAGUUUAGUUUUAUAACUAAAAUAGUUUGGCAGUGAGUUACUCCUGUUGGGGGAAGGUGUGUUGUAAAGGACGAUCCGCCUAAUAUUUUACUUUGAUUAUGUUGGUGUAUAUCUGGUUGCAUAUUACUGCUGAAUAGCUGAAUUUGUGUAUUUAAAAUUUAAGCCAAGUCUAUGUGCUGCAUAUCAAAGUCCUUCAUGCGUUACUCUUAUAAAUAACAUAAUGAGAGUUGUGUUAAUUUAGGACUCAAAAGUAAUGUAAGAUUAGUUUGCUUAUGUGAAAAGGGUUUAACUCAGGUACACACCGCCGUCACCCUCGA